GCCUGGGUGGCUCAGUUGGUUGAGCGUCCGACUUCGGCUCAGGUCAUGAUCUCACAGCUCGUGAGUUCGAGCCUCGCAUCAGGCU
RNAcentral lists this transfer RNA (85 nucleotides) under Felis catus (domestic cat). It matches the Rfam family "tRNA". Rfam says of the family: Transfer RNA (tRNA) molecules are approximately 80 nucleotides in length. Their secondary structure includes four short double-helical elements and three loops (D, anti-codon, and T loops). Lineage: Eukaryota; Metazoa; Chordata; Mammalia; Carnivora; Felidae. The record is from Rfam by way of RNAcentral.